This 313-nucleotide ribosomal RNA is filed under the name uncultured bacterium. Its description in RNAcentral is "bacterial SSU rRNA". It matches the Rfam family "Bacterial small subunit ribosomal RNA", at positions 28 to 334 of the family's 1533-position model. The record is from RNAcentral.
GAUGAACGCUGGCGGCGUGCUUAACACAUGCAAGUCGAACGGACUUGUUAUGAAGCCUAGCGAAUAACAAGUUAGUGGCGGACGGGUGAGUAACGCGUGGGUAACCUGCCUCACACAGGGGGAUAACAGUUAGAAAUGACUGCUAAUACCGCAUAUGCACACAGUACCGCAUGGUACAGGGUGGAAAGAUUUAUCGGUGUGGGAUGGACCCGCGUUGGAUUAGCUAGUUGGUAAGGUAACGGCUUACCAAGGCAACGAUCAGUAGCCGACCUGAGAGGGUGACCGGCCACAUUGGGACUGAGACACGGCCCAA